This 596-nucleotide long non-coding RNA is filed under the name Triticum aestivum (bread wheat). RNAcentral describes it as "long non-coding RNA (TAES_LNC004328)". The record is from RNAcentral. Lineage: Eukaryota; Viridiplantae; Streptophyta; Magnoliopsida; Poales; Poaceae.
UACAUGCCACAUAAGCAAAUCUGCCUUGGACUGCGAUAUGUUACUCCCUCCGGUCCUUUUUACUCUGCAUAUUAGGUUUGUCCGAAGUCAAUCUCAUCCAACUUUGACCAAAUUUAUAUAAAAAAUUAUAGACAUUCACAUAACAACACCAAUAUCAUUAGAUUCAUCUUGAAAUAUAUUUUCAUAUUAUAUAUAUUAGAUAUUAUAGAUGCUAAUAAUUUCUAAUAUAAAUUUGAUCAAACUUAGCAAAGUUUGACUUUCGGCAAAUCCAAUGUGCAGAGUAAAAAGGACCGGAGAGAGUACUUGCUAAGUUACUCCUAGUAUGACUAGCUUUAUGCGUCCUCGGAUCAGUUGUGUGUAAACUUUUGUUUUCAAAAGACUUAAAAUAAAUACAUUCCCUGUAAAAGAUUUAAUUACAUCCCAUUUAAUUUCACACAAAGCCCAACACAACAAAAGAAAAAUCCGAAAAGUCGAGAUGAGGCCCCCCACUAACUUUUCGUCUCCUGCCGUGCGGAGGUACAGAUUAGAGCGAGAGGGACCCCCUAAAAACAUAAAGUAAAGAGAGGGGUGUUUUCGCAAGAGAGAGAGAGAGAGAG